Molecule: ribosomal RNA, 250 nt
Filed under: uncultured bacterium
Lineage: Bacteria
Description: partial 16S ribosomal RNA
Rfam family: Bacterial small subunit ribosomal RNA
Source: RNAcentral
UACGAAGGGGGCUAGCGUUGCUCGGAAUUACUGGGCGUAAAGCGCACGUAGGCGGAUUGUUAAGUCGGGGUGAAUCCUGGAGCUCAACUCCAGAACUGCCUUCGAUACUGGCGAUCUCGAGUUCGGGAGAGGUGAGUGGAACUGCGAGUGUAGAGGUGAAAUUCGUAGAUAUUCGCAAGAACACCAGUGGCGAAGGCGGCUCACUGGCCCGAUACUGACGCUGAGGUGCGAAAGCGUGGGAGCAAACAGG